AUGAGGUGGUCGUCCAGUGUGUCAACGAGCGGCUCUCCGCCCUCGGCAACUGCGUCGUGGGUGGAGAGGUGGUCGAUCACGAUAGCGGCGAUGCCAGGGGAGAUCCCUAAUUUGAAAAUGUUGGCGCUCUUCGGAUGCGGAGGUGUCCUCCUCAGGGGGGCUAGUUGCACAGUGAAUGAUCUUCUCGACCGCGACAUCGAUAACAAGGAGCUGGAGGAAAAGAGGAAGGAGAAGGCCAAGAUCUCUUAUGACAGGAGAAAGCAACUGGCGAAGCUCUGCGUCAAGGCGAGAAGGCAGCUGAAGAGAAGUUAG
This 312-nucleotide ribosomal RNA is filed under the name Triticum aestivum (bread wheat). RNAcentral's name for it is "partial small subunit ribosomal RNA". Lineage: Eukaryota; Viridiplantae; Streptophyta; Magnoliopsida; Poales; Poaceae. The record is from RNAcentral.